Molecule: ribosomal RNA, 210 nt
Filed under: uncultured bacterium
Lineage: Bacteria
Description: partial 16S ribosomal RNA
Rfam family: Bacterial small subunit ribosomal RNA
Source: RNAcentral
UGCGUAGGCGGCCAGAUAAGUAGGGUGUGAAAGCCCCCGGCUCAACCGGGGAAUGGCGCUCUAAACUGUCUGGCUGGAGUGAGAUAGGGGUGUGCGGAACUUCCGGUGGAGCGGUGAAAUGUGUUGAUAUCGGAAGGAACGCCGGUGGCGAAAGCGGCACACUGGAUCUCAACUGACGCUGAGGCACGAAAGCCAGGGGAAGGCAAAACG